AGGAUUAACGCUGGCGGCGUGCAUGAAACAUGCAAGUCGAGCGCGGCGCGUGGCUUCGGUCACGCGUCUAGCGGCGCACGGGUGAGUAACACGUGAGCAACCUACCUUCGAGUUCGGGAUAGCCCUGGGAAACCAGGAUUAAUACCGGAUGUGGUCACAACGGGACAUCCCGAUGUGAAAAAAGGCGCAAGCCGCUCGAUGACGGGCUCGCGGCCUAUUAGCUUGUUGGUGGGGUAACGGCCUACCAAGGCGACGAUGGGUAGCUGGUCUGAGAGGACGAUCAGCCACACUGGGACUGAGACACGGCCCAGACUCCUACGGGAGGCAGCAGUUAGGAAUUUUCCGCAAUGGGCGAAAGCCUGACGGAGCAACGCCGCGUGUGUGAUGAAGGCCUUCGGGUUGUAAAGCACUGUCGGAGGGAAGAAGUGAAUGACGGUACCCUCCAAGAAAGCCCGGCUAACUACGUGCCAGCAGCCGCGGU
RNAcentral lists this ribosomal RNA (481 nucleotides) under uncultured bacterium. RNAcentral's name for it is "SSU rRNA". It matches the Rfam family "Bacterial small subunit ribosomal RNA", at positions 26 to 521 of the family's 1533-position model. The record is from RNAcentral.